UGUUUGCAAAGUUUCUGUUUUAUGUAAAAACAUCUUGACUUCUAUAGCAACAUUAUUUUUAAGGAUGCAUGGUCAUAUUUUGUUGACAUAAACUGUGCUGCAAUAUUCUACUAGAUUCUUUACAUUUCUUUUAGGUUGGAAACUUGGCCCAAAGCUGAGGCUCUUUGAAGCUAUGGUAUUGCAAUCAAAUUCUUGAUGUAAUGAAGCAACGCCCGUGUGUGUAGGUCCAUGCACACAUAUGUCUGCUGGGCUCCAGUCAAGUACAUUGUCCCUCCUGAUCACGACUGCUCUGAAGGCAGGGUAGCUGUCUGA
Molecule: long non-coding RNA, 312 nt
Filed under: Anas platyrhynchos platyrhynchos (common mallard)
Lineage: Eukaryota; Metazoa; Chordata; Aves; Anseriformes; Anatidae
Description: lncRNA (ENSAPLG00000022712.1)
Source: RNAcentral